Molecule: ribosomal RNA, 467 nt
Filed under: uncultured bacterium
Lineage: Bacteria
Description: partial 16S ribosomal RNA
Rfam family: Bacterial small subunit ribosomal RNA
Source: RNAcentral
GACGAACGCUGGCGGCGUGCUUAACACAUGCAAGUCGAACGAAAAGGCCCUGCUUUUGUGGGGUGCUCGAGUGGCGAACUGGGGAGUAACACGUGAGUAACCUGUCCCUGACUGUGGGAUAACUUCAGGAAACUGGGGCUAAUACCGGAUAGGAUCUCUUGCUCCAUGGUGGGCGUUGGUAAGUUUCGGCGGUUGGGGAGGGAAUAGCGGCUUAUCAGCUUGUUGGUUGGGUAGUGGCUUACCAAGGCUUGGACGGGUAGCCGGCCUGAGAGGGUGACGGCCACAUUAGACCUGAGAUACGGCCCAGACUCCUACGGGAGGCAGCGGUGGAGAGUAUUACAUAAUGGGCGGAAGCCUGAUGCAGCAACGCAGCGUGCGGGAUGACGGGCUUCGGGUUGUAAACCGAUUUCGCCUGUGAAGAGGCGUGAGUGACGGUAAUGGGUAAAGAAGCACCGGCUAACUACGUG